This 386-nucleotide long non-coding RNA is filed under the name Rattus norvegicus (Norway rat). Its description in RNAcentral is "long non-coding RNA NONRATT006918". The record is from RNAcentral. Lineage: Eukaryota; Metazoa; Chordata; Mammalia; Rodentia; Muridae.
GGAGCUGUGAGUAUUGCACUGGAUUCUGUGGGAGGAUAGAGGAUACCUUGUAAGGCUCCUUUGCAGACAUUGUGCCUGACCCCAGUGGCAAGGCUUCCAGAUUCUUCUGAAUCAAACCCUUUAUGUCCAACCGAAUCCACCUGGAAAACACGCAAGAGUGAGUUCCUAGAACGUCAAAAUGAAGGAGCAGACCUCUGCAUGCCGUCACCAGACACCACAGAAACAUCCUGAUACCUCUGAAGAGAGCCAGGCAAUGGAGUCUGUGGAUAACCUCUGCAGUCAGUAUGAGGAGAAGGUGCGGCCCUGCAUUGACCUCAUCGACUCCCUGCGAGCUCUGGGUGUGGAGCAAGACCUGGCCCUGCCUGCCAUCGCUGUCAUCGGGGACC